RNAcentral lists this ribosomal RNA (408 nucleotides) under Triticum aestivum (bread wheat). RNAcentral describes it as "partial small subunit ribosomal RNA". The record is from RNAcentral. Lineage: Eukaryota; Viridiplantae; Streptophyta; Magnoliopsida; Poales; Poaceae.
AUGACGCCGCAACCACCGCCUCCCUCCCUACCUCGCGCCGCCGCCGGGCCCCGGCCACGAAUCGCACCGCCGCCUUGCCCCGACCUUCAACCGCGCCGCCGCCGCGUCCUCCCUCCCGUGCUGCCACCACCGCCUCCCUCCCCACCUCGCCACCAACCAGCGCUGCGCCGCACCCCUGACCCCAACUGGAGAUGUCGCCUCACCUCCUCCCUGGAUCCCGCGCCAUCAUCCCCCAAGCACUGCCGCUCACAACGGGAGCAACCACCGGUGCGGGCUGCUCCACCACCUACCGGCCUUCACCACUCCCCUCCAUCAGCAUCGGCCCCGCCCCAUCCACCGAGUGCCGUCGUCCCCCAUCUCCCUCCACCCUCCUCUACGCGUGAUGGACGCCAUGGCACGGGACCGUGA